GCAAUGGGCGAAAGCCUGACGGAGCAACGCCGCGUGAGGGAUGAAGGCCUCUGGGCUGUAAACCUCUUUUAUCAAGGAAGAAGAUCUGACGGUACUUGAUGAAUAAGCCACGGCUAAUUCCGUGCCAGCAGCCGCGGAUAAUACAA
RNAcentral lists this ribosomal RNA (146 nucleotides) under uncultured bacterium. RNAcentral describes it as "partial 16S rRNA". It matches the Rfam family "Bacterial small subunit ribosomal RNA", at positions 368 to 528 of the family's 1533-position model. The record is from RNAcentral.